UUGAGAUACAUGAUGUUGUAUCAUAUUGUAAUAGUGUAUACACAAUGUAUUUAUAGUGUAUAGUUGGUAUACAAUUGGGCAAUGAUGAUAAAACCUACAUUUGGGCUUUUCCCGAGCCCAAUACCGAGAGUCAUAUCUGAGCCCAGAUAUGUGACCCAUAUGUGACCCGUCCAUUCUUUAUUAUAAUGGGUCAAUGACCCGACCCAUGUGUGUAAAUAUAAAUACAGGGGUCACCGACUUAUGUGACCCCCGGACUUCAUUUCUUUAUUUUGUUUUCUCGGUUAAUGUGAUAUUUUCUCUCUGGGAUUCCAGAGUCUUCUCACCUACUCUCCUCCUUCUCUCUACUUUCUCUCUAUAUUAACAUGGUAUCAGAGCCUCCUAGAUGAUCCGAUCAUGUUUCUAAGUAUUCGUGUUCAUGGAUGAAGUCUGUAUCGAGG
RNAcentral lists this long non-coding RNA (437 nucleotides) under Nicotiana benthamiana. RNAcentral's name for it is "long non-coding RNA (NBEN_LNC012628)". Lineage: Eukaryota; Viridiplantae; Streptophyta; Magnoliopsida; Solanales; Solanaceae. The record is from RNAcentral.